GACGAACGCUGGCGGCGUGCUUAACACAUGCAAGUCGAACGGAAAGGCCCUGCUUUUGUGGGGUGCUCGAGUGGCGAACGGGUGAGUAACACGUGAGUAACCUGCCCUUGACUUUGGGAUAACUUCAGGAAACUGGGGCUAAUACCGGAUAGGAGCUCCUGCUGCAUGGUGGGGGUUGGAAAGUUUCGGCGGUUGGGGAUGGACUCGCGGCUUAUCAGCUUGUUGGUGGGGUAGUGGCUUACCAAGGCUUUGACGGGUAGCCGGCCUGAGAGGGUGACCGGCCACAUUGGGACUGAGAUACGGCCCAGACUCCUACGGGAGGCAGCAGUGGGGGAUAUUGCACAAUGGGCGGAAGCCUGAUGCAGCAACGCCGCGUGCGGGAUGACGGCCUUCGGGUUGUAAACCGCUUUCGCCUGUGACGAAGCGUGAGUGACGGUAGUGGGUAAAGAAGCACCGGCUAACUACGUG
RNAcentral lists this ribosomal RNA (468 nucleotides) under uncultured bacterium. RNAcentral describes it as "partial 16S ribosomal RNA". It matches the Rfam family "Bacterial small subunit ribosomal RNA", at positions 28 to 507 of the family's 1533-position model. The record is from RNAcentral.